Molecule: unclassified non-coding RNA, 350 nt
Filed under: soil metagenome
Description: partial contains 5.8S ribosomal RNA, internal transcribed spacer 2, and large subunit ribosomal RNA
Rfam family: 5.8S ribosomal RNA (bases 1-120)
Source: RNAcentral
GAUGAAGAACGUAGCGAAAUGCGAUAAGUAAUGUGAAUUGCAGAAUUCAGUGAAUCAUCGAAUCUUUGAACGCACGUUGCGCCCGCCAGUAUUCUGGCGGGCAUGCCUGUUCGAGCGUCAUUUCAACCCUCAAGCCCAGCUUGGUGUUGGGGAUCGGCACAGGCGCCCUCGGGCGCCAGCCGUCCCCUAAAUCUAGUGGCGGUCCCGCUGCAGCCUCCUCUGCGUAGUAGUUUUCUCCUCGCAAGGGCAGCUCGGUGGCGACCUCGCCGUAAAACCCCCAACUUCUGAAAGGUUGACCUCGAAUCAGGUAGGAAUACCCGCUGAACUUAAGCAUAUCAAUAAGCGGAGGA